Molecule: transfer RNA, 72 nt
Filed under: Rhodamnia argentea
Lineage: Eukaryota; Viridiplantae; Streptophyta; Magnoliopsida; Myrtales; Myrtaceae
Also listed under: 1 other name
Rfam family: tRNA
About the family: Transfer RNA (tRNA) molecules are approximately 80 nucleotides in length.
Source: Rfam by way of RNAcentral
GGGAAAUUAGCUCAGCGGUAGAGCGGUCACUUUACACGUGAAUGGUCAUAGGUCCGAUCCCUAUAUUUCCCA